AUCGCAAGAACGCGGGCGAUGUGCGGGAUCAGCGGCAGGUUCAAAACCAGCAGAAUGAUGUUGCCCAGCCACAUGGAAAUGAUGACCGACCAAAAGACGUCCGGCUGGUCGAUAUAAAGGCGCGGUCC
RNAcentral lists this non-coding RNA (128 nucleotides) under Ahrensia sp. R2A130. RNAcentral describes it as "Ruegeria cis8 sRNA". It matches the Rfam family "Ruegeria cis8 sRNA". Rfam says of the family: Cis-encoded. Targets hypothetical protein. The record is from Rfam by way of RNAcentral. Lineage: Bacteria; Pseudomonadati; Pseudomonadota; Alphaproteobacteria; Hyphomicrobiales; Ahrensiaceae.